This 620-nucleotide ribosomal RNA is filed under the name uncultured bacterium. RNAcentral's name for it is "bacterial SSU rRNA". It matches the Rfam family "Bacterial small subunit ribosomal RNA", at positions 899 to 1510 of the family's 1533-position model. The record is from RNAcentral.
ACUCAAAGAAAUUGACGGGGGUCCGCACAAGCGGUGGAACAUGUGGUUUAAUUCGACACUACGCGAGGAACCUUACCUAGGCUUGACAUGUAACUGCUACCGGCAGAGAUGUUGGGUUCUGUAGAAAUACAGACGGUUACACAGGUGCUGCAUGGCUGUCGUCAGCUCGUGUCGUGAGAUGUUGGGUUAAGUCCUUUAACGAGCGCAACCCUUGCCGCCAGUUGCAACUCCGGAAACGGAGGCACUCUGGUGGGACUGCCGAGGAAACUCGGAGGAAGGUGGGGAUGACGUCAAGUCCGCAUGGCCCUUAUGUCUAGGGCUACACACGUGUUACAAUGGCGAGGAACAAAGGGAUGCAAUACCGCGAGGUUGAGCUAAUCUCAUAAAACUCGUCUCAGUUCGGAUUGAAGUCUGCAAUUCGACUUCAUGAAGUUGAAAUCGCUAGUAAUCGCAUAUCAGAACGAUGCGGUGAAUACGUUCUCGGACCUUGUACACACCGCCCGUCACACCACGAAAGCCGUCGGCGCCCGAAAUCAUUUUAGCUAACCUGAAAGGGAGGCGGAUGAUGAAGGUGAAGAGGGUGAUUGGGGUGAAGUCGUAACAAGGUAACCAAGGGCGAA